This 207-nucleotide long non-coding RNA is filed under the name Brassica napus (rape). RNAcentral describes it as "long non-coding RNA (BNAP_LNC024119)". The record is from RNAcentral. Lineage: Eukaryota; Viridiplantae; Streptophyta; Magnoliopsida; Brassicales; Brassicaceae.
CAUGUAUAUGUGACGAACGAACACAAACAACUUGUGGACAUAAGACUUUUGGUAGACUCUGGUAUAUGUGAUGAAUGAACACUAAAAUAAUUUUUUUUUGACAAUCCAUAAGACUGCAGAACAUUAAAACUUCUUGAAAACCAAAACCAAAAAUUCUUUUAAAACGCAAGGACAAAACCACAAAAUUGGAGUGGAUAAGAAAAAGAA